RNAcentral lists this ribosomal RNA (534 nucleotides) under Marinobacter sp. AI-18. RNAcentral describes it as "bacterial SSU rRNA". It matches the Rfam family "Bacterial small subunit ribosomal RNA", at positions 31 to 556 of the family's 1533-position model. Lineage: Bacteria; Pseudomonadati; Pseudomonadota; Gammaproteobacteria; Pseudomonadales; Marinobacteraceae. The record is from RNAcentral.
GAACGCUGGCGGCAGGCUUAACACAUGCAAGUCGAGCGGUAACAGGGGGAGCUUGCUCCCCGCUGACGAGCGGCGGACGGGUGAGUAAUGCAUAGGAAACUGCCCAGUAGUGGGGGAUAGCCCGGGGAAACCCGGAUUAAUACCGCAUACGCCCUUCGGGGGAAAGCAGGGGAUCUUCGGACCUUGCGCUAUUGGAUGUGCCUAUGUCGGAUUAGCUAGUUGGUGGGGUAAGAGCCUACCAAGGCGACGAUCCGUAGCUGGUCUGAGAGGAUGAUCAGCCACAUCGGGACUGAGACACGGCCCGAACUCCUACGGGAGGCAGCAGUGGGGAAUAUUGGACAAUGGGGGCAACCCUGAUCCAGCCAUGCCGCGUGUGUGAAGAAGGCUUUCGGGUUGUAAAGCACUUUCAGUGAGGAGGAAAACCUUACGACUAAUACUCGUGAGGCUUGACGUUACUCACAAAAGAAGCACCGGCUAACUCCGUGCCAGCAGCCGCGGUAAUACGGAGGGUGCCAGCGUUAAUCGGAAUUNCUG